UGAGGAAUAUUGGUCAAUGGGCGAGAGCCUGAACCAGCCAAGUAGCGUGCAGGAAGACGGCCCUAUGGGUUGUAAACUGCUUUUAUGUGGGGAUAAAGUGCGUGACGUGUCAUGCAUUGCAGGUACCACAUGAAUAAGGACCGGCUAAUUCCGUGCCAGCAGCCGCGGUAAUACGGAAGGUUCGGGCGUUAUCCGGAUUUAUUGGGUUUAAAGGGAGCGUAGGCCGUUUGGUAAGCGUGUUGUGAAAUGUAGGAGCUCAACUUCUAGAUUGCAGCGCGAACUGUCAGACUUGAGUGCGCACAACGUAGGCGGAAUUCAUGGUGUAGCGGUGAAAUGCUUAGAUAUCAUGAAGAACUCCGAUUGCGAAGGCAGCUUACGGGAGCACAACUGACGCUGAAGCUCGAAGGUACGGGUAUCGAACAGG
Molecule: ribosomal RNA, 424 nt
Filed under: Verrucomicrobiota bacterium
Lineage: Bacteria; Pseudomonadati; Verrucomicrobiota
Description: Verrucomicrobia bacterium partial 16S ribosomal RNA
Rfam family: Bacterial small subunit ribosomal RNA
Source: RNAcentral